GUGAUUGGAGAAGCCUCUUUUUAUUGGCAAAGAGGUGUAGGUAGGCAGGGUUCCAGGACAGGGCAAAACAAGCCAUGUAUUUGAGUGGAAAAGAGGGCUUGCCCGUUUCUCUCCUGGGAAGACAGUGGGUUUUGCUUUUGAUCUUAAGGGUCUACCUUCUUGAAAAAAAAUCUUUGAAGUAUCUCAUAGACACUUCAAAAUAAUAUCAGCUAAGCUCAGAGGCCCCCGAGGGGACAUGACCAAAUAAACAGAAGCCUGGUUGUCUGAGAGCUAGUGCUGACGAGAGCAGGUGCCUGAUGCCUCCUGCCCUGUUUGACUCCCAUUCUCUUGGCACAAUGAGUGUAUAUCUCAGAGGAAAUGCUGAGUCCGGGUGUACGUUCACAUGUACUUGUGCAUUCUGGGUACACGUCACACAUAUACACGUACACACUGCAAAGCAGCCAGGAGUAUGAAGAGCUGUAAUGGGUGAGAGGCACUCACAACUGACUAACAGCUGGAAGAAAGCCUUAUUUUUCCCCUCUGCUGUCUACAUCCAAAGAACACACUGCUUGGACAGAGAGGCAAUUCUGACAGACACCAUAUAGCCACUUAUAAUAAUAACAAGAGAACAUGGACCCUGUAUACUCUAUGGGUCUUUGAUGGAUCUGCGUGGUUUACACCUUUUUCUUCUCCUCUCAAUGGGCCCACUUCAAGAAGCCAUGAAGGAGUUAAAAGUGAGCUGAAACUUUGACUUUCUUAGCUCUGGAAUAUAUGGGUAUAGUGCAGUCAGAGCUCCCUUGCCACGGGCCACACAAAGAGUUGUGGACGCCAUGACUUGAAAAGGACCUCAAACCAGUCACCCUUGCUACCAAGACAUGGCCUCUGUCUCUGGACUUGCAGCAUCAACAUCUCUCAGAGCCCUGGGCUCGGCCCUGUCCUGCUGAGUCAGAGUCUGCGUUUAGCAUGGCCUGAGGGCAUUCAUACUAUCUAAGAUUGAGGGACACUGCAUGGGCAUCGUGCUGAAAAAUGACCUCUAGAUUCAUUUUCUGAGGCCACAGGAGGAAAGGAAAGAGAACUCAAGAGGGAGAAAUACUGAUCAGGACAUGAAAACGUAAGGCCCAGGUUCGUUUAACCUGAGAGCCAAAGGCACCGGAGCCAGGAGAGCCAGGGGUGCUGAAUAAGAACAGGUGUCCGGGCCUCUCCUGUCCUCUCAGAUGAUGCAGAUGUAUCCACCUGAAGUUCUCAACAAAUUAAUUUAAAAUGAGGAAACGAAUGGAGUGGAAAGAUGGCUCAGCAGUUACAAGCACUGGUGCUCUUGCAGAGGACCUGGAUUCAAUUCCCAGUGCCCACACAGAAGUUCACAAGUUCAGGAGAAUGGCCUCUUUAGGCACUGCAUGCAUGUGGGGCAUAGACUAUAUAAAUAUAUGCAUAUAUUUGCAUAGAAUAUGUAUAUGUAUGUGUAUGUGUAUGUGUAUGUAUAUCCCUAUCUGCCAGAUAGUAGAACACCUGUUAGACUAGACUGUCUGCAGGGCUCUUGUUCCUUGUUCCUCAGCCAUUACUAAAGGAAAUUCCAGAAGAGAGGGGAGCUACCUACCCAUGGACAGAAGGAACACACUUCUGCUUCCUGCAGCCUUUUGCAAAUUGAUCUUUGCUUUUCUCUACUGCUGACUGUUGGGUGUGAAAGAGGAGUUACUGCAAAGCUGCAAGCUGGCUAGACCGACUUUGAUUACCUCACAAGGGAGAAGAGAGGGAGAUGGAGGAAGAAGGGUGUGUACAACACCACAGGCAUCAGAUCACUGUCACGGGUUGCAUACAGUUGUCAUCGCAGUAAGCACUGCCCUGUUCCACAGGGCAAGCGGCUCUUAGAUGGCUGCAGCCAGUGCACGUGCUACAGCAGUCCUCUCUGGCUGGCACAGGGACCCUUCUGCACACACAGUGCAAACACCCCCGCUCUGGACAGUACCGAGCAGAGCCAGUGACAGACAGCCUGAGGGAUGGAUGAGGCCUUGCAGCAGGGAGCUACAGUCUCACGGAACUGCUGAGGGGCUGAGUGAAGGCUCCUUGGAAAGACUCCCCCCAUUCUCACUGACCCCAGGGCAUGGGAAGUUCAUCUGUGACAUGCUACCUCCGCAGUAAACCAGAAACUCAAAAGGGAGGAGAGAUUUCUUUGCUGAGAGUCUUGCCCUGCAUACUGUGCCCUGACACACUGAUGGCUGAGGAGGACUGUGCCAAGGACCAGACCUAGUGAGAAUAGAAGGGGCAAGCAACUGGACAGAGGCUGGGAGUGGCAGUGUGCACCCUCUCCGCAUCAGAUGUGAGGCCAGAGGUUUUGCUCUGCUUCUCAAGUGGAUGGAAGUGAUUGCUGUCCCUAAACCUGUUCUGCUAUCUCGGUGCCUUUCCAUGUCUCUGUCUAUAAGGCCUGCAGACUUGUGAUUCCAACUUCAGUAAGUUCAGGCCACCCGUAGUCUUUAUCUUCUGUAUCUUAUAUACAGGGGGAGCUGGAGUAGCAUAUAGCAGCUCAGUAUGGUAUCAGCCUCCCUCACCACCACUGCAUGUGAACUUCUUAACGGUGAUGUAAGGUGCCAGGCAGCUUCUCUAAGGCAAAGAGCAGCAUCUGUUUAGCCUUCUCAACUAACCUUUCUAUUUGAAAAUUAAACACUAAAUUUGAGCAAGUACUCAUCAUAUUUGAUACAACCAAAGCUUCCCAGAUUCCACUUUUGGUCUGUAAAAAAUAAAAAUAAAAAAUGUUAGCAUCCUCAACUGCUAAAAAAAUAUGAGACAUCAAUUUGUGGCUGAGGGUAAACUUGAGACUGUAUGUAAAUUAUGUAAGUUAUAAAUUGUAAGAAUUAGGGCUCCUAAUGGAGGAGCUAGAGAAAGUACCCAAGGAGCUAAAGGGAUCUGCAACCCUAUAGGUGGAACAACAUUAUGAACUAACCAGUACCCCGGAGCUCUUGACUCUAGCUGCAUAUGUAUCAAAAGAUGGCCUAGUCGGCCAUCACUGGAAAGAGAGGCCCAUUGGACACGCAAAAUUUAUAUGCCCCAGUACAGGGGAACGCCAGGGCCAAAAAGGGGGAGUGGGUAGGUAGGGGAGUGGGGGUGGGUGGGUAUGGGGGACUCUUGGUAUAGCAUUGGAAAUGUAAAUGAGCUAAAUACCUAAUAAAAAAUUAAAAAAAAAGAAAAAAGAAGAAAAAAAAUAAAUAAAUUGUAAGAAUUGUUGCUAAUAAUAAAUUGAAACUAAGUGAUUGUUUAAAUGAUGACUGAAGGAAUAUCUGUCAAAUAUGUCUGAUCAUCUGUACACCUGGCCUAGGUUCUACAAAGGAAAUGUAGGGCACUUAGCAGCUUGCAAAGAUUCUAAUGUUUUUGCCAAUCUUUAGUACAAAGCACAUCUAUGAUUCUAAAUAGAUAAGGGCACACCCAGGCAUCUUUCCACAGCUGAAUCUCGGACAGCAACUUCUUCAGUGUGCCUAUAUGGGUGUUAAUUAAUGUCCACAGACAAGAAAUGACUUGACCAAGGUCAUACAUCUAGGUGGUGUCAAGCUGAAACUGCCUCUCCGAGUCAUGGCCAUUCCUCCCAGCCACUGGUCCAGGCCAGGUUGUUCCAGUGUUCCUGAGGGCUGUACUGCUCCAGGUAGGAAGGAAUGGUCCCAUUUUAUACAUGGGAUGACUGAGGCUCACAGAGGCCAGUGCUUUGUCCUAAGUUAGAUUCUAACUAAGUGGCUAAAUUCAUAUCUUCUAAAUAAAUGUGCAAUUGGCAUCCCUCACCACUUCCCAUUCUAGAUCUUCUGCUUGGCUUUUAUACACAUGUGCUUUUAUACGUAUCUGGACAGAGAACAGUCUGACCUCAUACACUCUUCUGUUCUUGCUGAAGAUAAGAUACUCCCCAAGCAGCUAUGCUGGGUUGCUCUUGUGACUAAAAUCCCUGAGGGACAGGAGACACAGAAAGGAACAAUGCAAAGGCUGUAGCUCAGGUGAGUCUUCUCAACCAUGACCCUGAGGGUGGGAGUCAGCAGGGAGCUAGCCUAGAAUAACCAGUUUCUCCAAAAAUGUAGGCAUCUUUCUGAAUGGCUCAUCUGUGGCCAUAAGGCAAUGUCACUCUAAUCUUACAUUUAACUGAGAGCAGAGCUGCUCAGUGAAGGAGCUUGCAUUGUACAGGAGCACUGGAAAAGAGCACUCUACAGGACCACUGGGGAAGAACACUCUACAGGAGCACUGAGGAAGAGCACUCUACAGGAGCACUGGAAAAGAGCACUGUAGAGGAGCACUGGGGAAGAGCACUGUACAAGAGCACUGAGAAAGAAAGAGCACUGUACAGGAGCACUGAGAAAGAAAGAGCAUUGUACAGGAGCACUGGGAAAGAGCACUCUAUAAGAGCACUGGGAAAUAGCACUCUAUAGGAGCACUAAAGAAGAGCACUCUUCAGGAGCACUGGGAAAUAGCACUGUACAGGAGCACUGGGAAAGAGCAUUGGAAAGGAAUAUUUUGCAGACUCACUGGGAAAGAGCACUGUACAGGAGCGCUGGAAAGGGACAUUGUACUGGAGGAGCACCAGGAAGGAGCACUGUAUAGGACCGCUGGGAAGGAGAGCUUCACUUGUGGAGCACAGGGCAACCCUGCAGACAGUGGUCUAGAGCCAGUGGCUUGGAGGCAUUUGGAAGGUCAGAAAUAGAAGAGAGAAAGAGGAGGAGACUGGCAUAGGAGGGACUGAGAAUGAAACUGAACAGGGCACAGGUGCUAUUUGGUCCUCUAGCCCGUGUAUAUCUACACUGAUGUGCCCUGUGCACCAAAGGCCUCUUGUACUGACUUCCUCAAGGAACGAACAGGUACCCUGUGCAGCUGACAGUUACCCAGACGGUACAAUCCGAGCCAAUCCAUGAGGGGCGCUGUGAUCUCAGUGUGAUCUCUCCAGUUAACACAGCUCUAUCUUCUCUUCCCUGUCGGCUUCCUCAUAUUAUAACUUGAGCCUGUGCAGGUUUGCUUACAUGCGAGGGCCUAUUGGUGCCGUCCCGGUCUAACAACUAUAUCUCCUAUCUGAGAAAUGAGCUCUGAGUUGUGAUGCUUGCCCAUUUCUGUGGUGUGAACACUCUCUCUUUAGCCAGUUUAGAACCCCCAAAGACAUCACAGCACAUGGGCUGGCAGAGAUGAACACAAGUACUCUGGCAGCCACACUCUAAAACUCUUUCCUUGACAGUCUGAAAGAACCAGGGAUCCUCUCUAAAUAUUCUUUCCCUCCAAACCCGUCACAUCCGUGGAGCAUCAACAAGUAGUACUUUCUCAGGAAAUGGCUCCUGCAGGUCAGAGCCCAUUCCCCAAAGCCAACCAGCCCCACUCUGUCAGAAGAGAGGUGCCUGCUAACUCGACAGAGGAGUAACAUGGUAGAAUUUGUCUCCUCAGUAAACAUAAUUAAAAGGCCUUUGUCUUCUUUCCCUCAAGCACUCAAAUGCAUUUUCUUUCACUCUCAAAUUUCCAUGGUGCCUGGUACUAGAGAGGAGGGGGCACAGAGGAUGGAGGGAUGAAGGAAUGAAGGGAUGGAGGCAUGCAAGGAUGGAGUAAUGGAGAGAUGGAGGGAUGAAGGAAUGGAGAGAUGGAGGGAUGAAGGGAUGGAGGGAUGAAGGGAUGAAGGAAUGGAGAGGUAGAGGGAUGGAGGGACGGGGGAAUGAAGGGAUGGAGGGAUGGAGGGAAGAGAUAGAUGUGAAAGCAGCUUUCCAAGAUCUAUAAAUUAAUGUUUGGGACAUGCUAGGGAAGUACCCAGGAAUGCAGAGCCUGUCCAUUGAUCAUGAUAUGGACUAGGUGAAGCAAUUUGUAUAUCAUAAUCAGAGUCUCCUGCUCAGAAAACAGCAUCUUGAGACAGCUCUACCUUUCAAUAGUACCGUAAGUCAGCUGAGAUCACCCUAAUUUAUUACCUGAAAAAACCCAGGGGCAGGUAAUUACACUGCCUGCUGACAAAAGACAGGAUGUUCAGCAUGCCCAAUUACAGAGAGGCGCAGAAUGAGAGCUAACUGCAGUUCUGAGGAGCGACAUGGCCCAUUUCACCACGCAAGACAAAACUGAACUGUCUUCUCAAAGGACUGUAAUCUUCUACAAGGUCUUUCCAAUUAAUUUAACCAUGAAUAAUUUUCUUUUAAAACUACUUUCAAGUUUCCAUUUAGUACCAGAAGGCAAUUUCACAAUUCAUUUCUAUUAUUGGAUUAAGUGGCCUGCUUCAACCUGGGCAAUUGUAUUCUUUUCUCUGAGUGUUCUGGUGAGGAUAAGUCUCAUAUCCUAAGCAAAGUUAGGGUAGGACCUCUGGACAGGGCAAUGGAGCGUGGCCUGGUCAGACCCACUAGUUGAAAAACUCUGGUUUCCUUAAGGAGUAAUGUCUGUCCACCUUGGCAGAACACUCCAGACUGAAACAGAACUCUCACAGCUCCUGUAGGCCCACGGAACCCCUGGGAGGCAAGUCUUAGCCUAGAGGAGGGGGCUAGAUGCAAAGAGGUGUGAAAAAUGGGAUCUGCUAGGCCAAGACACGGAGGAAGGUGGAGAUAAAAAUCAAGACUGAGCAGAUGGAGUGGGGGAGGAUCAUCCAGAGAGGGUGCCAGGAAUACUGCAGCGUGAAAGACACCAGGGAGGACCAGCAGCAGGACCAUGAGGUCAGCUGGGCGUGGUGAGUAGGAAGUCAGGGAGGGACGGACAGAAGCCUGAUCACCAGCCUCAUAUGCAGGAAGCUGCACACCCAGCCAGUUCCAGUGCUUCAGGCCCAUGAUGUGAGAGACUGAUGGACAGGAGCUGCCCAGGAAGCUGGCAGCCAAGCACAGAGGACAAGCGAGGACAGCGCAAGAAAUGAUGCUGCUAAUAGCAACGGUUGGAAGAGCCAUGAGGAACAUCCUGAGGAAGGUGUUCUCCAGCUGUGCAGCAGUGUAUUCUCGGCCAUAUGCUCCACCUGCCUUGCUGAGGAUCGGUGCUGUUCCGCUUGCUGUCCUCCCUGUAAGUAGACUCCAGUCUCUUUGCAGCCAUGAGCUUUUUCACGGCGGAGAGUAAAGAGCACACUGAUCCUGAGCAGGCUACACUGCUCACAGGGUGGAGAAUCUCAGAAAGAAAACGUGCUCUCUGCCCACACUCAAAAGUUAGCUUUUAGGAUUAGGAUUUCUGCCAACUCCCUAGGUCCCAAUCUGCAAAACUAUCACCAAGCCGUAGACCAGGGGCUUAGAGAUGAUUUUGUGGCUGACUCUUCAUUUUGGGGUUUCUACUAAAUGUAGAUGUUUAUUUAAAAGAAACCACACAUUAGGGGAGCUGCAAAAAACAAACCCAAAACUUGGUUUCUACAUGUUUUAUGGAGAGAAAACCCGUUGAACACAUAAAGCUUUUUCUGCCUUUUUCCCCCAAAUUCUUAUUUUACCCAGACUAACAUCUUAGCACU
Mus musculus (house mouse) is the source of this 7372-nucleotide long non-coding RNA. RefSeq annotates it as predicted gene, 52863. The transcript is spliced from 3 exons. The record is from RefSeq and is a predicted model, not a curated record. NCBI's taxonomy places the organism in Eukaryota, Metazoa, Chordata, Mammalia, Rodentia, Muridae.